GUAGGGAAUAUUGGUCAAUGGACGAAAGUCUGAACCAGCCAUUCCGCGUGCAGGAAGAAGAUUCUAUGGAUUGUAAACUGCUUUUAGCAGAGAAGAAACGCCUUCAUUGAUGAGGGUUUGACGGUAUCUGCGGAAUAAGCACCGGCUAACUCCGUGCCAGCAGCCGCGGUAAUACGGGGGGUGCAAGCGUUAUCCGGAAUCACUGGGUUUAAAGGGUGCGUAGGCGGGAAAUUAAGUCAGUGGUGAAAGUCUGUUGCUUAACGAUAGAAUUGCCGUUGAUACUGAUUUUCUUGAAUUGGGUUGAGGUUAGCGGAAUGUGACAUGUAGCGGUGAAAUGCAUAGAUAUGUCAUGGAACACCAAUUGCGAAGGCAGCUAGCUGGGCCUUGAUUGACGCUGAGGCACGAAAGCGUGGGUAGCGAACAGGAUUAGAUACCCGUGUAGCC
Molecule: ribosomal RNA, 444 nt
Filed under: uncultured bacterium
Lineage: Bacteria
Description: bacterial SSU rRNA
Rfam family: Bacterial small subunit ribosomal RNA
Source: RNAcentral